CCCUUAGAUGUUCUGGGCCGCACGCGCGCUACACUGAUGCAUUCAACGAGCCUAUCCUUGACCGACAGGUCCGGGUAGUCUUUGAAUCUGCAUCGUGACGGGGAUAGAUUAUUGCAAUUAUUAAUCUUCAACGAGGAAUGCCUAGUAGGCGCAAGUCAUCAGCUUGCGUCGAUUACGUCCCUGCCCUUUGUACACACCGCCCGUCGCUCCUACCGAUUGGGUGUGCUGGUGAAAUGUUCGGAUCGGCCGUUUGUCGCGGUUUCCGCGUCAUGUGGCUGAGAAGUUCAUUAAACCCUCCCACCUAGAGGAAGGAGAAGUCGUAACA
This 325-nucleotide ribosomal RNA is filed under the name uncultured eukaryote. Its description in RNAcentral is "partial 18S ribosomal RNA". It matches the Rfam family "Eukaryotic small subunit ribosomal RNA", at positions 1470 to 1796 of the family's 1831-position model. The record is from RNAcentral.